RNAcentral lists this ribosomal RNA (425 nucleotides) under uncultured bacterium. RNAcentral's name for it is "bacterial SSU rRNA". It matches the Rfam family "Bacterial small subunit ribosomal RNA", at positions 354 to 796 of the family's 1533-position model. The record is from RNAcentral.
GUUAGGAAUAUUGGACAAUGGGCGCAAGCCUGAUCCAGCCAUGCCGCGUGAGUGAUGAAGGCCUUCGGGUUGUAAAGCUCUUUAGCCGAUGAUUAUAAUGACUGUAGUCGGAAAAUAAGCCCCGGCUAACUUCGUGCCAGCAGCCGCGGUAAUACGAAGGGGGCGAGCGUUAUUCGGAAUCACUGGGCGUAAAGCGUGCGUAGGCGGCUUUGCAAGUUGGGAGUGAAAGCCCAGGGCUCAACCCUGGAAUUGCUCUCAAAACUGCAAGGCUCGAAUUCGGGAGAGGAUAGCGGAAUUGUCAGUGUAGCAGUGAAAUGCGUAGAUAUUGACAGGAACACCAGUGGCGUAAGCGGCUAUCUGGACCGAUAUUGACGCUGAGGCACGAAAGCGUGGGGAUCAAACAGGAUUAGAUACCCGAGUAGCCC